GCACUUGUUAUUGAAGUAUACGUUUUAUACGACCGUACCGCAAACCGACACUGGUGCGCGAGAUGAGUAUUCUAAGGCGCUUGAGAGAACUCAGGAGAAGGAACUCGGCAAAUUGACACCGUAACUUCGGAAGAAGGUGUGCCCUAUUAGUGUGUAGUGAACAACGAAGCAUGAAUGGGUUGCAAAAAAUCGGUGGCUGCGACUGUUUAUUAAAAACACAGCACUCUGCAAACACGAAAGUGGACGUAUAGGGUGUGACGCCUGCCCGGUGCUGGAAGAUUAAAUGAUGGGGUGCAAGCUCUUGAUUGAAGUCCCAGUAAACGGCGGCCGUAACAUAUACGGUCCUAAGGUAGCGAAAUUCCUUGUCGGGUAAGUUCCGACCUGCACGAAUGGCGUAACGAUGGCCACACUGUCUCCUCCUGAGACUCAGCGAAGUUGAAAUGUUUGUGAUGAUGCAAUCUCCCCGCGGAAAGACGGAAAGACCCCAUGAACCUUUACUGUAGCUUUGUAUUGGACUUUGAACAGAUCUGUGUAGGAUAGGUGGGAGGCUUUGAAGCAGGGUCGCUAGAUCUUGUGGAGCCAACGUUGAAAUACCACCCUGGUGUGUUUGAGGUUCUAACCUAGGUCCAUUAUCUGGAUCGGGGACAGUGCAUGGUAGGCAGUUUGACUGGGGCGGUCUCCUCCCAAAGCGUAACGGAGGAGUUCGAAGGUACGCUAGUUACGGUCGGACAUCGUGACGAUAGUGCAAUGGCAUAAGCGUGCUUAACUGCGAGACUGACAAGUCGAGCAGAUGCGAAAGCAGGACAUAGUGAUCCGGUGGUUCUGUAUGGAAGGGCCAUCGCUCAACGGAUAAAAGGUACUCUGGGGAUAACAGGCUGAUACCGCCCAAGAGUUCAUAUCGACGGCGGUGUUUGGCACCUCGAUGUCGGCUCAUCUCAUCCUGGGGCUGUAGCCGGUCCCAAGGGUAUGGCUGUUCGCCAUUUAAAGAGGUACGUGAGCUGGGUUUAAAACGUCGUGAGACAGUUUGGUCCCUAUCUUCCGUGGGCGCUGCAGAUUUGAGGAAGCCUGCUCCUAGUACGAGAGGACCGGAGUGGACACACCUCUGGUGUAUCGGUUGUCACGCCAGUGGCAUUGCCGAGUAGCUAAGUGUGGAAGAGAUAACCGCUGAAAGCAUCUAAGCGGGAAACUCGUUUCAAGAUGAGAUCUGCCGGGGCCUUGAGCCCCCUAAAGAGUCGUUCAAGACCAGGACGUUGAUAGGUCAGGUGUGGAAGCGAAAAAAAAAUAU
RNAcentral lists this ribosomal RNA (1285 nucleotides) under metagenome. RNAcentral's name for it is "bacterial LSU rRNA". It matches the Rfam family "Bacterial large subunit ribosomal RNA", at positions 1606 to 2884 of the family's 2925-position model. The record is from RNAcentral.